UGGAUGAAUUCUUGGUCUCUGUUCUCUAAAGGAUGAAAACGGUUUCCGCAAUAAAUUUCUCCAGGAGAAAAGAAAGACAAUGAUUCCUGUCCAAAUGUCGAUUCUACACCCUCCGGCAAGGUUGCAAGGUUUAUCUCCGCCACUCGGAGGCAUGAUGGGGUUAUGUGAAAAGUCAAAACAAACGAACAAGGUCACACGUGCAAUUCGUGGCGAGUAAGGCUAAAAAUAAAUGUCCUUUUCUGAAGUGUACUCUGUCGUAGUGGAAUCGAAAUGAAGAAGAAUGUGUUCUUUGAAGCAAGUGUGUUAGGUUUAUAAACAUUUCAACGUCUUGAUACAAUCUCGAGUCCUGAUGUGGAUCCAGUCAAGGUUGAGUGCUGUUUCGAACGUCAAAAGAGGUGGUCAGCUUUGUUCGUCAGCAGGCCCCUUAUGAUUAACGCAGGGAUGUUGAUGUCAGAAUGGUGAAAGGAUUGAUUGUAUAAUGCUCUGUUGGGCUCAAAUUUUGAUUCCAUUAGCAACUGCUUUGAUAGUUGCAACUAUAUUUACAUACUAUUAUUUUCAUUAUAAAAAGUGAAAAAUAAAUUAAAUUGAAACACAA
This is a long non-coding RNA of Hermetia illucens (black soldier fly), 595 nucleotides long. RefSeq lists it as uncharacterized. The transcript is spliced from 2 exons. The record is from RefSeq and is a predicted model, not a curated record. NCBI's taxonomy places the organism in Eukaryota, Metazoa, Arthropoda, Insecta, Diptera, Stratiomyidae.